Microcebus murinus (gray mouse lemur) is the source of this 6564-nucleotide non-coding RNA. The record is from RefSeq and is a predicted model, not a curated record. NCBI's taxonomy places the organism in Eukaryota, Metazoa, Chordata, Mammalia, Primates, Cheirogaleidae.
UCCUGGCGCCCGUCCUCCUCCCCGGGCGCGGUCCGCUGGGGCCAGGCCUCCCGCGCGGCUGCGGGCGUUGCCUCCAUCCCCGGAAACACCGCCCGCGCGCGGAAGAGGGGCAGGGGGGGAACCGAGACGCCGCGCUGGCCGUGUCCACGGGCCGUCACCAAAGCUGAAGAGACGCCUCCCGUGUGCGCGCCACGCCCGCGUGUCCCGGGAACACGGCCACUCCGCGGGAAAGGGCCUGCGGACGCCGCGCCCGCCUGCGCAGCGCGAGCAGGUCUCGGAGGCUGUCGCUGCACAACCACGUCUCCGAAUCAGUCGUUGGCGUCGCAGCUCCGUCCUCGCUGCGCAGGAGGUCGCCGAGGGCGGCACAAAGCCGGCUUCCCCCUGGCCAGGACGUGCGUUUUGCCCGGCACGGGAGGGUGUUGUCACGCCCGCGUGUCACCAGGACGCCGCGUGUUUGAGGCCAGGGCGUCCCACGAAAGGGACCGGCCGUGACUGUGAACACCAGCAGCUGCACAUGCACGACAGCCAAGACAGACACGUCAGGACCGUCAGACUCUCGUGCAGGGCGAAGCUGACACCAGAGGGGGCUGGAGGCAACGCGGCCGCGCCCUGCUCCGCGCUGGGCCUGUCACUGUCCCUGCGGCAGCGAGAGGGGCCCUCGCCCUGCCUCCACUAGGGAUCUUUCCUGCUGCCGCCAGCCUCUAGGUUUGUGGUGCUGCUGACACUUAGCCAUUGAAAACCAGCCAGAUGUGCACAGCUGUGCCCAUGUGGAGCUCGCCUCACGGGCUGCGCGUCUGCCCCCCCUGGAGCUGGCGUCAGGGCCACGGCGCAGUUCCUCAGCUGCACCUCACCUCCUGCUGCAGCGGUUCAUUCUCCUGCACACCCUUCAGUCCCCGAGAAAUACUGCCAACGAGAGUCAGGGCUCUGCGAGCAGAAAGGAUGCGCUGAGCGGCGCCAGGUCCCUCCUCUCUGGAGGGCCUCACGGUGUCGCCAGGCAGCCUGAGCCGAGACAGGACGCGGCCCACAGCAGGAGGCCGAGGUCGCCUUGCAGGGCCCUGGCCACCUGCAAACUCGGGGGCCGGGAGCCCUGUUUGACCUCAGCAGGACCUGACAACGAGACGGCAAGAUCGAUUCUGUUCGGAGCCCACACUCCGCUUCUAAGGAACUUCUAAGGAAAGUGAGCUCCCCAGGCCAGGGAGGGCCACGCCGACCUCUGCUGAAUUCAACCCCUGGAGCACAGUAGAUGCAAAAGGAAAAAGGCCAUUUUUCAAAUACUUCUGCUUCAAAUACCUCAAAUGCUUUCUGAAUUAACAACUUAUGUAAGACAUUGCUACAUGAGAGCUAAUAUGAACAUUCUGGGGCGAUCUUCUAAAAGUGAGUGGAUUAAACAAAGCUGCUGAGCCAGGUGUGGGCGAGGCAGGUGGCCACGCACAGGUGAGGGAGCCACCCGAGCUCGCGGUCUCGGAGCACACUGGGCCCUCCGCCCCGUCAGAGUGUCCCGCAGCCGUCUGUGCACAGAAAUGAUGGGAAACAACAGCAAAACCACUGGCUCUCUCUUAAAAACAUUUCAAAAUAAAUGUUUACAUUUUCAGAGAAACUAAAAUGCCACACUGAAGUGCGCACGAGUUUCCUUAAAACUGAAACUGGCUUUCUCCAUUAAGAGAACAACCGAGGGCCUCGUUGUGGGAUAAACGACUCCCUCCCCCCGUGUUAACCCACCUGGAUCAAAUCCCGGCCACAGAGAGGGGGCAGGGACCUCACUCUGGGGGAGAAGAACCUUCCGGGAUGAGACUAAUUUCCGGGCCUCCUGAGCGCGCUGUGGGUGAAUGCCCGUGUCCUGGGAGCCGCCGGCCACGUCCUGCGCUCGCCUCCUGUCCGCGGCAUUUCCUGUCCGCGAGUCUCUGGAAGCGCCUCACGCUGCUCCCAGGCUCGGCGCUGCUGAGAAGGAGGACGGCACAAGAGCAGCUUGAUCAGUGACCCCGGGCGACACAUUAAACAAACAUAAAAAUUAGCUACAAAAUAAACUUCCUGGGCCCUGACCCGAGCCUUUCUCCCAGCCUUGUGCACACUCCCCUGCGGGCGGCGUCCUCACUAUCCACGCGGGGUCCAUGUGGUCAGGGCUGGGCGGGGGGCCUGGCCAUGGCUGUGUCCAGAGCAGGUCCUGUGUCCAGGAGGCUCCUUUUCUGGGCUCCAUCCAUCCCCCCGAGACCCGCCACUGCCACCUCCCGAGAGUGACCUGUGUGAGCUCUCAAGCCUCAGUCUCCCCUCCUGCACACUGGUACUGCGCGCCCCCUGCUCGUGGGGCUCUCCCGAGACCGUGCCUGGACGCACUCCGAGCGGCGCCGUGGCCCGGCAGUGGUGCGGCGAGCAGCCCUCGCCCCGCCGAGAGGACCGAGGACCCACAGAGCCCUGCGGGACCCCGGCCCCACAGUGGGGUCAGCUCUGGGACCCGGCGAAUGCCGCUUCCUCCUGCUGUGCUUACAACUCGCCAGGUGCUCUGCUGAGCACUUCGAAUCGAUUUCCCAACUCAGUUCUCACACCAGCCCUCAGAGAGAAACCGUAUAAGCCUCAUUUUGUCGCAGCUGGACCAAGACUACGCAGCCAGAAAGCAGCAGGUUUGGGGUUCGAAUGCAGCUCUCCGAAGGCGGUUUGCACAGCAGCUGAGAUGACGACUGCCGCUGCCCCACCCCUGCGCUGCGGAAUUCACUGUGAACUGCCGUCCGCUGGCAAACAGCAGCCUCAGCGCCCUCGCCCCGGGCUUUCCACGGGCUGCUCAAUUCAGCAGGAAGUGCUGACUGCACAGGCCCUGACCCCGGGGAUGGCGGAGCCCAUUCAAGAAACCACUCAGCACACAGCUGUUGUCGGAGCUGCGGAUACCUGGCGGCACCCUGGUUUCCAGGUGCUUUCCAGGCGUGAACGGGUUAUUGUUCCUCUUCUCUUUGCAAGUUCCCAGGAGAGGGAUCUUCACAGGGCUAUAAAUUUGACAUUGCAUGGAAAGUCCUGGCGAGAGACUCAUGACCCAUGAAAUUGGAAGCCUUAUCGGAGAGCCUGCCCAGGUCAGGAGAGGAGGCCACACACUCCAGCUUUCCCACCCAGCUCUUCCCCUGCCUGGGACAAUCGUAAAUAACGAGGUCACGUCCAAGCAACUGAAUUUCUAACGUGCAUGUGUGUGUGUGUGUGCAUGUGCGUGUGCAAACAGAGCAUGUCUCUGUGCACAUGCAUGCUCUGAAUGCAUGUUCAUUAAAUCCACAGAAAUGAUUAGUGCUCACAUGACCAAGAGCAGCUGGACUCCCGCCCUUAACAUGAGCCCCCGACACACACACACGUUUAUCUGUGACCUACCAAGACAUGCACAGCUUCUGCCUGCGAUUGCUUGGAUCCUGAGACCAUCACAGGCCACAGCCAUGCCGUGUCCACUCACGUGCAAAGUGCUACGUGCAGCACUGAAUGAUUUCCUUUGCAACCAGGCUUGACAGAUCUGGCAUGUUCCUUCUUAAAAUACGGGCAGAGCUGCCAUCCAAUAAAUCAUGCAAAAGUUCCUUGAUUCAAAGGUAUGAGCAGCUCGUAGCAAACUCUGCGUGUAGCCCUCGCUUUCAUGGUUUCUGUGGUGGAGCAUCUAAGAUCUUGGUGCUUUUUCCACGUUCAUCUGCACAUACGGGCUUGUGUAGAGCAGGAUGGAAGCUUCUGGUGGCAGCUACCAACACGCACGGUAAAUGCUGGGACAGAGACACCGGCAGGGAAAUGAAAGUCUCACUUGAUCCCUGCCAGGUUACGUAAUUUCAAGAGGGAUCUAGUUUCGGGUUUGUCCACAUAUUGUGACAUUCUAGCUUGAAUUUAUGUCAAAAUAGUUCCUUUCCUGAAUAUUAUUUAAAAACUAAAAAGUCAAUGACUUUUCAAGCACUUAGCUGGCACUGCUGUCAUCCUGGGAACUGGGAAAUUCCAACAGUAACAAUACAGAAGUUUAGCUCAUGUUCAGUGUUUAAUCACCAAAGCCAAACUUACAAAAAAAAUACCAAGUCCUUCCUCUUCUUAACCAGGAAAUGAAGCAAUUCAGUUCACAGCAGCAAGUCCCGGCUUUGCCCUCCAUCCCAGGAGCUGCUGGGGCAGCGCCUGGAGCUAAACCACGGGUGGGCACAGGAGCUCGUUCGCAAAUGCCCGCGCUCGGCAGGACAAGGCCAGGCAACGCUGUGAGAAAGGGAAAUCGAGUCAGUGGGCCUGUCCCAGGGCCCGUCUGUGCCAGUCCAAGGGUGGAGUCCACAAGAGAGCAGGGGCUGAGAAAACGAUUCGCAUUUUGGCAGCAUGCCAUUCCAGACUGUCACCGAACAUGUAUUCCCCGGACACACACGCACUGCAUGUGUGUACACGUACAUGUGGAGCAGCCGUGCUGUGAUAUGCACUCCACAGAAGCAGCAGACACGGGAGUGGCUCUUGCCACGCCUGGCCAGCCUCUUCGCUCGCGUGAGAUAUUUACUUACAGAACAUAGAUCUGUGUGUCCCAGUGCACGUGUGCACACACACACCGUCACUGACUGCCGUGUGGCUUCCCUGCUACACACCCCAAGUAUGUCUAGAACCUCGAUAUUCCUCUGCUGUUAACUACACUCUCCCUUCACGUGUCGGGGUGAGCAUCACCCCCAGAUUCCAGCCUGGCUUCUCCCACCUAACCUGGCUGGGACUCGCUGGGGCCCUGGGCUACCAGAGCGGCUGAGUGUCACCGAGAUGCCCAUCUCUCCUCUCUCCCUCCACACGGCCUGCAUGGGACCUCCGUCCGUGGCACCCGCCUCAGCUCCGGGCAGUCGCAUGUUCAUGAUCGUGUGCGCAGUGUCUGGGCUGUCACUGCCACUGCCAGCCACGUCCUGCCCUCAAGGUCAGGAUUGUUCCGGGAUCUUUCAGGCAGCCUGGCCAGAAAAUAUUGUCGAAGACCUUUCAUCUUUCAUCAGGGCUACCCUGAUGUUGUCACCAGCGAUCUCGACCACGGCCUGUCCUGAUCUGGAGUCUGGAAGAGCACGCUCUGCUUUCCUGAGCCCUGGGGGCGCGUCCUGUCCGCCCGGCAUCACGGAUGUGAGUGUUGAAGACAGCCACCGAGCACUGAACACGGUGGAGGCACUCCGUGCCGGCAGGGGAGGCCGGCUCUGGUCGCAUCACCGCGGGCUCAAGGGACGAGGACAACACAGACCCUUCCGAGUGUUACUGCUUCACACGCGUGUCUGAGCCGGGGAGCCUGCUGCUGCCGCCGAUGCCCGCCGUGGCAGGACCCGUCCCGACCAGCCUCCAGGACCCCGGGUGACCAGACACCAUGCGUGGGCUUCCACAGGACCCCGGGUGACCAGACAGCAUGUGUGGGCUUCCACAGGACCCCGGGUGACCAGACACCAUGCGUGGGCUUCCACAGGACCCCGGGUGACCAGACACCAUGCGUGGGCUUCCACAGGACCCCAGGUGACCAGACAGCACGUGUGGGCUUCCACAGGACCCCAGCUCAGGCACCUUCAUGAAACGGCCUGAGUCACAGGUUGAACACAUCAGCAAGUGUUUGUCUUGGUCUGCCUCCUGUUUGGGUUAACACCAAGAUAAAGUGCAAGUUGGCUGAAGUUGCGCAUAGUAAACACGCACAUUUCAGUCAUCCCUGCUGAGGGACGUGCCUCACCCCGUCCCCUUACUCAGCAAGUAGCUGAUUGGAACAGCAGGGUCCACGGUGCGGGGACGGGCGUCAGUGUGGCUGGGCCCGUGGGCGUUGCUGAUUCAGCGUGUGUUCGACACGUGCCAGACAGUGUUUAAGGUCUUUCCACUGCGGCCCUGUGAGCCAGAAUCUGCUCCCACCGUGCCACUCUGCAGAUGGGGACAGCGACGCCCAGGAAGCUCGUGUCCCUGGCCCCCAGGGUCAGAGCUGACUCCCGGGAUUCGUGGGGAGCCACGCGCAGGGGUGCAUUGCUGCAUCUAGGAGGCCCGGCACGUCACCCGUGAGGCUGAGGCAGCCGGCACACGACGAGCUGCGUCUUUCAGAAGCCAAGUGUCCGGGCCGAGGCCCUGGGCGAGGAAGGGAUCCUCGAGGGACGGGGCGGGCAGGCGGGCACCCCGCCCAGGGCCUCUGCGCACCGAGGAAGGACACGGACAUGCACGGGGCACCAGGAAGGGGGCAGGCCGCAGACCGGCCAUCGGAGUCCUGACGUGGAGAUAAAGCAGGGACUGGUGGGGACUGGCCUCGGCCCCUGCCCACCACACACCCGGCAGCGCCGUGACUGGCAGCCCCAGCUGGGGCCCGCCCCGCCGGCCUCCUGACAGAUGUUUUAAUCUACCGUUUGAAGAAUGGCCUCCGCACAGCUCUGCUCUCGAACAUCUGUUUCUGUUUAGAAAGGCGGAGGCGCUUCUAAUGGCGCUGCCUGCGCCGCACCGGGACUGUUUGAGGGCGACCCACGUUGCUUACAUUACGCUCAGCGGCGGGAGGAUUUACUGCGGGCGGGCUGGGCGCACUUCUGAGCUCUGCAAAAGAGAUCAUUCAUGUUAAAAAGUGCACGAUUUAGCUUCCUAAAUACAUCCGUUUUGGAAGGAGGCAUUUACUUUAGC